AUAUAUUUACUAUUUUAACUGCUAUAACACAAAGAGUAUCCUUAACUACAUAGGCAAUAAUCCUCUUAUUAACGGACAAUAAUUUCUUAUUUUUAAAUUCUACGACAUUUCUUCGACUUAAGCUGAAACCUCUCCUUUCACAGGAUUGUAAUGGGCAGAAGCCUUUCAUCCAUGGUUAAAGUCACUCUGUGUAAUGGACGACAAUCUUACUCCAUGAGCUAAAAGCUAAAGUCACAGUCAUACUCCAAGAGCUAAAAACUAAAUAACUUUUUUCUAUAAUUCUAUUAUAGAUAGUGUUAAUUUUCUCAAUUUUAAUCUAAUUAGGAGUUCUACUCAAUUUAGAAUUAAUACUAAAAUAAGAAUUAUGCUCUAUAUAGAAAAUAUUCCUCUAUCAUAUUCAAUAAUAUUUCUCCCACUUAAAUUAGAAAAAAUUCUUUCCAAAUUAUACUAAGAUUUUAAGUUAUAAUUUUAACACAUAAUAUUUAGGAUUGAUUUAAAACCAUAUCAUCAUCCAAUUUCAUUCAAAAAUUAAAUCAGUUUCUAAUCAGCAACCAAUUCGAAUCAAUCUGCUAAUUCUCUAUGUAGAGCAGUUGUUUCUACAUCCGAUGAGAAUGAAUGGGCUAUUGUCCCCUUUCAUUUCUUGAAGAUAUACUGCACUUUGAUAAGAUUUAGUAAUAGUACAUUCUAUUUUUAUUAAAAAAAAAAAAUUUAAGUGUAAA
This 719-nucleotide unclassified non-coding RNA is filed under the name Hevea brasiliensis (rubber tree). The record is from RNAcentral. Lineage: Eukaryota; Viridiplantae; Streptophyta; Magnoliopsida; Malpighiales; Euphorbiaceae.